UGGGGAAUUUUUGGACAAUGGGGGAAACCCUGAUCCAGCCAUUCCGCGUGAGUGAAGAAGGCCUUCGGUUGUAAAGCUCUUUUGUUCCGGAACGAAACGGUUGGCGUGAAUAUCGCCGACUACUGACGGUACCGGAAGAAUAAGCACCGGCUAACUACGUGCCAGCAGCCGCGGUAAUACGUAGGGUGCGAGCGUUAAUCGGAAUUACUGGGCGUAAAGCGUGCGCAGGCGGUUUUGUAAGCCAGAUGUGAAAUCCCCGGGCUUAACCUGGGAAUGGCAUUUGGGACUGCAAGGCUUGAGUGCGGCAGAGGAGACUGGAAUUCCCGGUGUAGCAGUGAAAUGCGUAGAUAUCGGGAGGAAUACCGAUGGCGAAGGCAGGUCUCUGGGCGUGACACUGACGCUCAUGCACGAAAGCGUGGGGAGCGAAACAGGAUUAGAUACCCUGGUAGUCCACGCCCUAAACCGAUGUCGACUGGUUGUUGGGGGUA
Molecule: ribosomal RNA, 488 nt
Filed under: uncultured Pseudomonadota bacterium
Lineage: Bacteria; Pseudomonadati; Pseudomonadota
Description: bacterial SSU rRNA
Rfam family: Bacterial small subunit ribosomal RNA
Source: RNAcentral